Molecule: ribosomal RNA, 389 nt
Filed under: uncultured bacterium
Lineage: Bacteria
Description: bacterial SSU rRNA
Rfam family: Bacterial small subunit ribosomal RNA
Source: RNAcentral
AUUGAACGCUGGCGGAAUGCUUUACACAUGCAAGUCGAGCGGCAGCGCGGGGGCAACCCUGGCGGCGAGCGGCGAACGGGCGAGUAAUACAUCGGAACGUGUCCUUAAGUGGGGGAUAGCUCGGCGAAAGCCGGAUUAAUACCGCAUAAGCUCUGAGGAGGAAAGCGGGGGCUCCGUAAGGACCUCGCGCUGUUGGAGCGGCCGAUGUCGGAUUAGCUAGUUGGUGGGGUAAAGGCCACCAAGGCGACGAUCCGUAGCUGGUCUGAGAGGAUGAUCAGCCACACUGGAACUGAGACACGGUCCAGACUCCUACGGGAGGCAGCAGUGGGGAAUUUUGGACAAUGGGGGCAACCCUGAUCCAGCCAUUCCGCGUGAGUGAAGAAGGCCUC